GACGAACGCUGGCGGCGUGCCUAAUACAUGCAAGUAGAACGCUGAAGGAGGAGCUUGCUUCUCUGGAUGAGUUGCGAACGGGUGAGUAACGCGUAGGUAACCUGCCUGGUAGCGGGGGAUAACUAUUGGAAACGAUAGCUAAUACCGCAUAAUAUUGACUAUUGCAUGAUAGUCAGUUGAAAGGUGCAACUGCACCACUACCAGAUGGACCUGCGUUGUAUUAGCUAGUUGGUGGGGUAACGGCUCACCAAGGCGACGAUACAUAGCCGACCUGAGAGGGGGAUGGGCCACCCUGGGACUGAGACACGGCCCAGACCCCUACGGGAGGCCGCAGUAGGGAAUCUUCGGCAAUGGACGGAAGUCUGACCGGGCAACCCCGCGUGAGUGAAAAAGGUUUUCGGAUCGUAAAGCUCUGUUGUAAGGGAAGAACGGGUGUGGGAGGGGAAAGCCCCCACUGUGACGGUAUUUUACCAGAAAGGGACGGCUAACUCCGU
This 494-nucleotide ribosomal RNA is filed under the name uncultured bacterium. RNAcentral's name for it is "partial 16S ribosomal RNA". It matches the Rfam family "Bacterial small subunit ribosomal RNA", at positions 28 to 506 of the family's 1533-position model. The record is from RNAcentral.